CUUAUAGCUCAGCUGGAUAGAGCAACUGCCUUCUAAGCAGUGGGUCGCAGGUUCGAAUCCUGCUAGGCG
This 69-nucleotide transfer RNA is filed under the name uncultured Mailhella sp. It matches the Rfam family "tRNA". Rfam says of the family: Transfer RNA (tRNA) molecules are approximately 80 nucleotides in length. Their secondary structure includes four short double-helical elements and three loops (D, anti-codon, and T loops). Further hydrogen bonds mediate the characteristic L-shaped molecular structure. tRNAs have two regions of fundamental functional importance: the anti-codon, which is responsible for specific mRNA codon recognition, and the 3' end, to which the tRNAs corresponding amino acid is attached (by aminoacyl-tRNA synthetases). tRNAs cope with the degeneracy of the genetic code in two manners: having more than one tRNA (with a specific anti-codon) for a particular amino acid; and 'wobble' base-pairing, i.e. permitting non-standard base-pairing at the 3rd anti-codon position. The record is from RNAcentral. Lineage: Bacteria; Pseudomonadati; Thermodesulfobacteriota; Desulfovibrionia; Desulfovibrionales; Desulfovibrionaceae.